Molecule: long non-coding RNA, 354 nt
Organism: Liolophura sinensis
Lineage: Eukaryota; Metazoa; Mollusca; Polyplacophora; Chitonida; Chitonidae
Exons: 3
Source: RefSeq, a predicted model, not a curated record
UGGAGAAGGAGUGGUUAAUCCAGGCUUUAGAUAACCUGAAGAAAGAGAAGCUCACUUUGGAUGAGAAUGUUACAGAUUGACACACCUUGAUUUGAAAAUAUCUUCACCAGGAACAUCCUUCAAGUAUACACACCUUGGAUGUUUGGCAUGUUGCCAAAGGACUGGGUAAGAACAUUGACAAGCUUGGGAAGAAGAAGGGUAUGACAAAAGUGAACCUUUGGAAAAAGUCCACUGUAAACCAUCUGUAUUGGUGUGCCAGUUCAACCAGUGACAGCAGUUCAGAGAUGACAGUUUCCAAGUGGAAUUCUAUUGAUGAGAGCAGUACAGAGAAGCUCUUGGGCAUUAUUAAGAGUG